This 2624-nucleotide long non-coding RNA is filed under the name Solanum tuberosum (potato). RNAcentral's name for it is "long non-coding RNA (STUB_LNC006701)". Lineage: Eukaryota; Viridiplantae; Streptophyta; Magnoliopsida; Solanales; Solanaceae. The record is from RNAcentral.
GUAAGAAAACAAAUAAAUAAAUAAUCACACAAUUAAAUAAGUUAGAAAUUGAAUUUGGGCCUCUUUUUGGGGCCAAAUUCGCUGUAAUUUCUGGGGAUUUACUCAAUCCCGUUUUUGGUAUACAGCUGAUGUAUAUCGGCAUGUAUAUCAGCCCCUUUCAUGUAUUUUAUUGCUUCCGAACACAUGUAUUUCACUCCAGCCCUGUAUUCCUGCGUUUUUGACCUGUAUAUCGAUGUAUAUCUGUUGUAUAUCAUUGUAUAUUUGCCUUUUUCCACCUGCGUUUUUGGCUUUUUGAGAUCUGUUUCAGCUUCUUUUAUAACAUAGAUUUCCUCUUCGAAUUCCAUAUGCUCCCAAUGACGAGGUUGACUCGAUAAGAGGGAGUUUUAGGCCUCCGAGGCCCAUUUGAAAUGCGAGGUGUAGACAUGAAUACAUAGGACUCACUCGGACAUACAUAAAGUGGACAAAUAAAUACAAAUUAGCAAAUGGAAUAAGAAGAUUGAUUGAUGUACCAUUUUAAACUAAAGGAAACUUUGGCAUUUUCAUUGCAAAUUCAAUUACAGCUAACCUUACACACCAAGAAUGGGAAGAGACCACAUGUGAGCAUUAUUAAUUUCCAAUCACAUUGCAUUAUCAUCUAGGGAAAUCAAUCACAGCACAUGGUAUUAUUCCAAAACACAUUGAACACUUCUAAAUUUUUGAGCUUAUUUGAAGAUUAUAUACUAGCUAUGUGAUGAACAAAUGGGAGAAGUUGAAACCUUGGCAAAUCAAGCAUGACGGAUUCAUCUACAUCCAAACAUCAAACUAUGCUAACUAAGAAGACAUAACACAACCGAAUAUGCUUAAGUUAACAAGAAAAUGUAAAACAAAUGCGCUUAGUUUAAAAUCAACUCAUUUAACAAGAUAACAUUUCCCAAAUGCUAAAAAGAAACCAAACUUCCUGGGAUCAACCACACUUGUUCGUUCCGCUAGGAAAUAUUACAUUGGUAUUAAUAAUCAACCGUAUGGGGGCAACACUAUGAUCUUGCAUGCUUGAAUAUGGUUAAAUAUAUUAAAUUCCUAGAUCACACAAUCACAACAACAAUCAAAGGAGGCAUUCUUGACAAUAGCCACUGAAAUAAAAAAAAUGCAAUUAUUAUUAGCUUUUAAUCAAUGAAUGGGACCAUAAACACGACAUAACAGAGCUACAGGGAUUAACAUGGGGGCUUAAAUAAUUAGCAAGCCAUAUAAUGAGCGAUUAAUACAAAAAAAUUCAUGCUUCCAAAUAAUUUCAAGGAUGAAACUUUAACAAAUUAAAACCCGAAAAAUAAUAAGAUAUUCUAUACUAACUUUAUGGCAAACGACUAUUCACUUAUACAAAAUUACUAAGUAAAGGAGGUAAAGAUUUGAGCAAAUCUUAGGCAUCAAAGCAACGGAACUCGAACAAUAAUGGAGAAAGGAGGAAGAGGACGACUAAACAUUAAUUGAAUUCAAGCUAACUUAGAUACAAACAAUACAAUUUCGUUUUAGCUCAUUUUAAGGGUGUAGAAAAUAAGGACAUAUAUGUAAAAUUAACAUGGUAAAACACUUUACAUGGAGGAUUUAAUAGAAGAACAUAUGCUCCAACAGAGUGUAAAUGACCAGUUUAUUGAUUCACUUUUACUCGGCCUUAGUUAGUAAGAAAGUCGAAAUACAUCAACUCGCAAAUGCAAAAUAACACAGCCUACGCAACAAACGUUUAUUAGAACACAGAUUCUAUAAAUACAACAGCUAAUAUUAAUCCCUAAAGAACAAAUGCCAUGAAGAAAGAAUAAAAUAAAAAAAAUAAAAUAAAAUAAGACAGUGAGCACUCAAUUUAUAUUAUUUACAUUAACGGAAGUAAUAAGUAAGUUACGAACAUCAUAUAUCAGAUUAGAGAUGAACUAUCUAUGGAAGAUGGUUUCGAACUAAAAAAAAAAAUCUGAAUUGCUAAUCACAGCUAACAAGACAAGCUAAUAGUAACAAAACAGAACGCACUUCGUCUGAAAGGAAAGGACGAGAAUAUUACCUUUUCCGGAGCAGCGAUACUAGGACGACGAGCUGAAACGACGACCUUCACUACGAGAACUCAGUUACAGACAAUGGUCAAGAGAUUUGGGCAGAAAAUUGAACCCAAACGCCGAAAGUUCUUGUAUCCCCUGUUUUUGAAGUAUAUCUUCUUGUAUUUAGACACUAAUCCUUAAAUAUAUAUUUUUUGCUAAAAUAAAAGAAAAAUCCCCCCAAACAAUGAAUAAGAAGGGGUAUUAUAUAGAUGGGGGAAUUAGGGCUCGGAUUCUCGGGGGAAAGGAUAGAAUAGGAAUUCUCCCACUCAAUCCUCAAUUCAAAAAAUUUCAAGAACCAAAGAGCUGUUCGUUUUUCCAAGAAAUCAACCCAAAUCCCACGAAAUCCGGAUGACAAGAUUAGGAUGGGCGGCUGUUGCAGAGAUUUGGACUACUGUUGCUUUGACAUUUUUGGAUUUGCGUCUGGGGAAGAGGAAGACGCUGGCAGGGGCUGUUUUGGUACUGUAUGGAUGUUGUUUAUCGUAUUGUAGAGUUGGAAUUGUGAAGGGAAAGGGGAUGGGGGUCGGCUGGAAUUGCUACUGCUGUACGUAUGUAUUGUAUUGUUGUUAU